RNAcentral lists this unclassified non-coding RNA (247 nucleotides) under Hevea brasiliensis (rubber tree). The record is from RNAcentral. Lineage: Eukaryota; Viridiplantae; Streptophyta; Magnoliopsida; Malpighiales; Euphorbiaceae.
AAGAGUUUUGGCAAUAAUUGCAAAAACAAGUAAAACUUUGGAUUUUUUUGAAUAUUAGGCCUUUAUAAUAAGGCCAAAAAAGAAUCUUUUAAGAAAAUUAAAAUUACCAGUUUGACAAGAAAAUGAGAUCUUUUGGUUGGGGUUGGGACUCAUUUAAGCGGGGAUGGAAGUGAAACUUUUGGUCUUUGGAGAUUAAUAUAUAAUAAAUCCUGUUAGACUUAUUUAUUGGUAGAAAGGUGAGAGAUUU